GGUGACCUCGGAUCAGGUAGG
RNAcentral lists this ribosomal RNA (21 nucleotides) under Ilyonectria liriodendri. Its description in RNAcentral is "partial 28S ribosomal RNA". The record is from RNAcentral. Lineage: Eukaryota; Fungi; Ascomycota; Sordariomycetes; Hypocreales; Nectriaceae.